GUGAAUUCAUGACACCUUUGACUCUUCUACUGUCUCAGACCUUAGAUUUGGAUUUAGUAGAAAAAAUGUAAAACUUCAAAGGAAGCAACGGGCUGUCUUGAGAGUUAGAAUUCUUCACCUCUGAAAACAGUCAAGAAAAAUGAUAAAAGGCAUUUACACUCUGAGGGAAGAUGUACAACAUGUCAGCCUUUCCGGCUGGUGGCUGUGUGAUGGGAAGCAGAGUAGAGAAAAGAGGUCCAGGAGGCUGGCAGACUAGACACUGUCGGGUGUUUAAACUAGACCAGCAGAUGGAUAUUUUCUCCCCUGCAUUUUUCAUCAGUUCCCCUUCCCGUCAUGCACCAGAGAGAGAAUCCUGCUGUCAUACAGUCACUCCUGAGAUCUGCUUUGCCACAGAUGUUAGUGGAUCAGACAUAAAAACAGCCGUCAAAAUUGGACCUGCUACUAGAAAUAAAAGACUAGAAAGAAAUAUUCCAAGAUGGUACUACCAUGGUGGGACUCCAGGCUAUUUUAGGUCUUUCUGGAUUUUCCAACCCUUCUUUGAUGAACAUAUACAGAUUUUAUAAUUUCAGGGAAUUUUUAAAUGAUUUUUUAAAAAAUCUUGUCAAUUCCAUUCCAUUCAUCCUUCGCCAGUAAAUAUCCAAAACAAAGUAUAUCUGAAAAAAAAAAAAAAAAACAAAGUAUAUCUGAAGCCUUAGCACAAAGGACCCACCAAGCAAUGCCUUCCUUGUAAGAACACAGGAGCCAACUACCACAAAGGUAGCUCCUACCCUUCUAACCUGAGACAUGGUUUGAGCAUUCUCUCCACUCCCUAAAUUUUGAGGUGGUGGGCAGGAAGAUAUUUAGUUUGAAUACAAAAGAGCAGAUUGAGGUUUUCCUCUGUUUUGCCUCUUUUUCUUCCCUUAGCUGUUGUAUUGGCUUUGGACCUGCCUAGAACAAAGUCAGGCAGGAAGUACAUACAAGAUACCAACCAGCUAUGUACUUCAUCAUUUUCCCAAACACUCCUCUGCCCCUGUGAUGCACGGACCUGAGGUGAAACCACCACAGCUGCACAAAUGCUCCGUUGGGAUUACUUCUACCAACCGAGUUCUCUCAGGCACAGAGGAGCAGUUUUUGACUGAAAGGAGCAUUGGAGCCACUGACAUAAACCCUGCCUUGACCUUGCCCCACCCACCACUCUUCUUUCUCAUAUCUAAUCUCCCACAGAACUCCCAGAGCCACUGCCUCCCCUCCCUGACUUCUCAGGCGGCCUGGCUUCCCACUCCCGCCCCUCCCUCUAGGGAUCCUACCCUGUGGAUCAUCAACAAUCCCCUUGUCAAGUCCAAAGGCCAGUGUCCCACUUACCUUGCCCCUUGGCUUACAUGAAAUCUUCGAUUGUUUAUUCUUCAAACUCUUACUCCUGGGAUCCCUGGGCGGCGCAGCGGUUUGGCGCCUGCCUUUGGCCCAGGGCGCGAUCCUGGAGACCCGGGAUCGAAUCCCACAUCAGGCUCCCGGUGCAUGGAGCCUGCUUCUUCCUCCGCCUGUGUCUCUGCCUCUCUCUCUCUCUGUGACUAUCAUAAAUUAAAAAAUAAAUAAAUAAAUAAACAAACUCUUACUCCCUUG
RNAcentral lists this long non-coding RNA (1599 nucleotides) under Vulpes vulpes (red fox). Its description in RNAcentral is "lncRNA (ENSVVUG00000013193.1)". Lineage: Eukaryota; Metazoa; Chordata; Mammalia; Carnivora; Canidae. The record is from RNAcentral.